AACCAGGGGGCGCUUCGAAAUUGCGAUGGUAGCGCCACCGCAGUACAACACAUGGUCGUGUCGCGUCGGUCGUGUUCGUAGCGUUGCAUUGGCGUCGCAGGUGUUUCGAGCGUACAGUGAAGAUUUAGAGAAAGAUAGAAAGCGUGCGAGAGUUAUUUCUCAUGGUGAGUCAAGAUACGAUAGAGAAGCUUCAAUAACACGCAUCUUCCACCGAGAAAGCGGUUGAUUUCCCCGCCAACGAGUCGGGUCCGCCUCGCAAGUACGGUCGUGUCGCCCGUGCGGCGUCUACGAGAUAACUUUACAGGUUCAAGUUGUCCAGUCCACAUGCAAGAUUUCCAGAUAUUGGCUGGGGGCUUGAUUCAUACUUUACUGUGUGGGACAUUUUAGGAGGAAAAUGUUGUGGAGCAAAGGAAACACCAGUGACACAUGAUAGGUUGUCAUCAGUAGAACAACUUUUAUUUUCUAGAAACAUAAUCCAUGCAUGCCAGUGUUUAAUUGCUGCUUCACUGAAUAAAGUUUUUCGUGGCAUGUU
RNAcentral lists this long non-coding RNA (532 nucleotides) under Ixodes scapularis (black-legged tick). RNAcentral's name for it is "uncharacterized LOC115312718". Lineage: Eukaryota; Metazoa; Arthropoda; Arachnida; Ixodida; Ixodidae. The record is from RNAcentral.